Molecule: ribosomal RNA, 254 nt
Filed under: uncultured bacterium
Lineage: Bacteria
Description: partial 16S ribosomal RNA
Rfam family: Bacterial small subunit ribosomal RNA
Source: RNAcentral
CACGUAGGGUGCGAGCGUUGUCCGGAAUUAUUGGGCGUAAAGAGCUCGUAGGCGGUGUGUCGCGUCGGCCGUGAAAACCUGCAGCUUAACUGUGGGCGUGCGGCGAUACGGGCAGACUUGAGUACUGCAGGGAGACUGGAAUUCCGUGGUGUAGCGGUGGAAUGCGCAGAUAGUCAGGAGGAACACCGGUGGCGAAGGCGGGUCUCUGGGCAGUAACUGACGCUGGAGGAGCGAAAGCGUGGGGAGCGAACAGG